RNAcentral lists this ribosomal RNA (253 nucleotides) under uncultured bacterium. RNAcentral describes it as "partial 16S ribosomal RNA". It matches the Rfam family "Bacterial small subunit ribosomal RNA", at positions 524 to 776 of the family's 1533-position model. The record is from RNAcentral.
UACGUGUGGUCCGAGCGUUGUCCGGAAUGACUGGGCGUAAAGGGUGCGUAGGUGGGCACAUAAGUCAGGUGUGAAAUCCCCGGGCUCAACCUGGGAAGUGCGCUUGAAACUAUGUGUCUCGAGGCUGUCAGGGGUAAGCGGAAUUCCCGGAGUAGCGGUGAAAUGCGUAGAUAUCGGGAAGAACACCGGUGGCGAAGGCGGCUUACUGGGACAGAUCUGACACUGAGGCACGAAGGCGUGGGGAGCAAACAGG